GCCGGGGUGGCGGAAUGGCAGACGCGCCAGACUUAAAAUCUGGUACUGGCAACAGUGUGUGGGUUCGACUCCCACCCUCGGCA
This 83-nucleotide transfer RNA is filed under the name Candidatus Woesebacteria bacterium. RNAcentral's name for it is "tRNA-Leu". It matches the Rfam family "tRNA". Rfam says of the family: Transfer RNA (tRNA) molecules are approximately 80 nucleotides in length. Their secondary structure includes four short double-helical elements and three loops (D, anti-codon, and T loops). Further hydrogen bonds mediate the characteristic L-shaped molecular structure. tRNAs have two regions of fundamental functional importance: the anti-codon, which is responsible for specific mRNA codon recognition, and the 3' end, to which the tRNAs corresponding amino acid is attached (by aminoacyl-tRNA synthetases). tRNAs cope with the degeneracy of the genetic code in two manners: having more than one tRNA (with a specific anti-codon) for a particular amino acid; and 'wobble' base-pairing, i.e. permitting non-standard base-pairing at the 3rd anti-codon position. Lineage: Bacteria; Candidatus Woeseibacteriota. The record is from RNAcentral.